This 389-nucleotide ribosomal RNA is filed under the name uncultured bacterium. RNAcentral describes it as "bacterial SSU rRNA". It matches the Rfam family "Bacterial small subunit ribosomal RNA", at positions 28 to 419 of the family's 1533-position model. The record is from RNAcentral.
GACGAACGCUGGCGGCGUGCUUAACACAUGCAAGUCGAGCGGUAAGGCCCUUUCGGGGUACGACGAGCGGCGAACGGGUGAGUAACACGUGGGUGACCUGCCCUCAGCUCUGGGAUAAGCCUGGGAAACCGGGUCUAAUACCGGAUAUGACUCCAUGACGCAUGUUGUGGGGUGGAAAGCCUUGUGCGGCUGAGGAUGGGCCCGCGGCCUAUCAGCUUGUUGGUGGGGUAAGAGCCACCAAGGCGACGAUCCAUAGCUGGUCUGAGAGGACGACCAGCCACACCGGGACUGAGACACGGCCCGGACUCUACGGGAGGCAGCAGUGGGGAAUAUUGGACAAUGGGCGCAAGCCUGAUCCAGCAAAUGCCGCGUGUGUGAAGAAGGCCUGC